Long non-coding RNA from Fundulus heteroclitus (mummichog), 315 nucleotides. RefSeq lists it as uncharacterized. NCBI's taxonomy places the organism in Eukaryota, Metazoa, Chordata, Actinopteri, Cyprinodontiformes, Fundulidae. The transcript has 3 exons. The record is from RefSeq and is a predicted model, not a curated record.
UUCAUUUGCUGGAUUUUUGACUUAAUAUUGGAUUACAUCUGUUCUAGGUUUUGCUCAAAGAGGACGAUCAGAGUCUGAUGGCAGCUCUGUGUGAGAACGUGCUGGCAGUCAACAUGUUACUGAGUGUCUUCUUUCUUCCCAGUGCUUUGGCUGGUUGUCCCAAUCCAGUCCUCUUUGCUGACACACCUGGGCAGAUUGAAGCACUGAGUGGAUCUUGUUUGCUACUGCCAUGCAGCUUUAAUUCAACGGAUUCCAGAUAUAACAGGACCAGAAGUAUUUAUGGAGUUUGGUUGAGAGGCACCAUAUAUUUUGAUG